CCUACGGGAGGCAGCAGUGAGGAAUAUUGGUCAAUGGUCGGGAGACUGAACCAGCCAAGCCGCGUGAGGGAUGAAGGUACAGAGUAUCGUAAACCUCUUUUGUCAGGGAACAAAGGCGGGGGCGUGUCCCCGGAUGAGUGUACCUGAAGAAAAAGCAUCGGCUAACUCCGUGCCAGCAGCCGCGGUAAUACGGAGGAUGCGAGUGUUAUCCGGAUUUAUUGGGUUUAAGGGGUGCGCAGGCGGUCUGUUAAGUCAGCGGUAAAACCCCGGGGCUCAACCCCGGCCUGCCGUUGAAACUGGCAGUCUCGAGUGGGAGAGAAGUAUGCGGAAUGCGCGGUGUAGCGGUGAAAUGCAUAGAUAUCGCGCAGAACUCCGAUUGCGAAGGCAGCAUGCCGGCUCCACACUGACGCUGAGGCACGAAAGCGUGGGUAUCGAACAGGAUUAGAUACCCUAGUAGUC
RNAcentral lists this ribosomal RNA (459 nucleotides) under uncultured bacterium. RNAcentral's name for it is "partial 16S ribosomal RNA". It matches the Rfam family "Bacterial small subunit ribosomal RNA", at positions 338 to 795 of the family's 1533-position model. The record is from RNAcentral.